AGAAUCAACGCUGGCGGCGUGCCUAACACAUGCAAGUCGAACGAGAAAGGGGAGCAAUCUCUGAGUACAGUGGCGCACGGGUGAGUAACACGUGACUAAUCUACCCUCGAGCGGGGAAUAACAAAGGGAAACCUUUGCUAAUACCGCAUAAUACCUACGGGUCAAAGGAGCAAUCCACUUGAGGAGGAGGUCGCGGCCGAUUAGCUAGUUGGCGGGGUAAUGGCCCACCAAGGCAAUGAUCGGUAUCCGGCCUGAGAGGGCGCACGGACACACUGGAACUGAAACACGGUCCAGACUCCUACGGGAGGCAGCAGUGGGGAAUUUUGCGCAAUGGGGGAAACCCUGACGCAGCAACGCCGCGUGGAGGAUGAAAUCCCUUGGGAUGUAAACUCCUUUCGAUCGGGACGAUUAUGACGGUACCGGAAGAAGAAGCCCCGGCUAACUUCGCGCCAGCAGCCGC
This 460-nucleotide ribosomal RNA is filed under the name uncultured bacterium. Its description in RNAcentral is "SSU rRNA". It matches the Rfam family "Bacterial small subunit ribosomal RNA", at positions 26 to 518 of the family's 1533-position model. The record is from RNAcentral.